ACUAUUUUGGCAGAAAAUUGUUAUGAUUUUAGAAUUCAUAUAUAUAUAUGUUAUUUAAUAUAUAGAUAGUA
RNAcentral lists this transfer RNA (71 nucleotides) under Junonia sophia. Its description in RNAcentral is "tRNA-Leu". Lineage: Eukaryota; Metazoa; Arthropoda; Insecta; Lepidoptera; Nymphalidae. The record is from RNAcentral.